UACGACUACAUAUCAGGCAUAUCAAUAAGCGGAGGAAAAGAAACUAACAAGGAUUCCCUUAGUAACGGCGAGUGAAGCGGGAAGAGCUCAAAUCUGAAAUCUUCAAGGUUCUACCUUGACGAAUUGUAGUUUAAAGAAGUGUUUUCUGUUAGUGAAGUUGGCUAAAAGUUCUCUGGAAUAGGACAUCAUAGAGGGUGAGAAUCCCGUAUUUGAUCAUUCCUUUCUAGCUGUGUGAUACACUUUCAAAGAGUCGGAUUGUUUGGGAAUGCAGUCCAAAAUGGGUGGUAAAUUUCAUCUAAAGCUAAAUAUUGGCGAGAGACCGAUAGCGAACAAGUACCGUGAGGGAAAGAUGAAAGGAACUUUGAAAAGAGAGUUAAACAGUACGUGAAAUUGUCAAAAGGGAAGCGUUUGACACCAGUGUUGUUUUCUCGAAAAUCAAUUAAAAAUAGCUGGAUUUUGUGUUGUAUUGACCUUUAAUCAGCUUGCUUCACUCUUUUCAUUGUCUUUUUUAAUGCACUUUUCGUUUAACAAGUCAACAUCAGUUUCUUUUGUUGUAAAAGGGUCAUUGGAAGGUGGCUUUCUCUUCGGAGAAAGUGUUUAUAGCCUUUGCUCUCUGCAAUCGGAGAGAUUGAGGUCUGCAGCGUAGAUCCUUCGGGGUUAGAUACAUUUGUGCUAAGUUAUAGCCUUUCAUAGACAACUUGUUGACUAUGAUCAGUCAUGUAGCUUACUCGCUUAUGCUAUUUUACCUACGCUUAGGAUGUUGAGCGCAUGUCUCUCUCU
Molecule: ribosomal RNA, 780 nt
Filed under: uncultured Neocallimastigales
Lineage: Eukaryota; Fungi; Neocallimastigomycota; Neocallimastigomycetes; Neocallimastigales
Description: partial large subunit ribosomal RNA
Rfam family: Eukaryotic large subunit ribosomal RNA
Source: RNAcentral